This 77-nucleotide transfer RNA is filed under the name Bacillota bacterium. Its description in RNAcentral is "tRNA-Arg". It matches the Rfam family "tRNA". Rfam says of the family: Transfer RNA (tRNA) molecules are approximately 80 nucleotides in length. Their secondary structure includes four short double-helical elements and three loops (D, anti-codon, and T loops). RNAcentral also lists the same sequence under 3 other names. Lineage: Bacteria; Bacillati; Bacillota. The record is from RNAcentral.
GCCCCCGUAGCUCAGUUGGAUAGAGCGGCCGCCUCCUAAGCGGCAGGCCACUGGUUCGAAUCCAGCCGGGGGUGCCA